UCCUCAGUAGACAAACUGGUAAAGUCGCCGGACUGUUAAUCCGGUGCCAAAAGGCUUUGUAGGUUCGAAGCCUACCUGGGGAGCCA
This 86-nucleotide transfer RNA is filed under the name Methyloprofundus sp. Its description in RNAcentral is "tRNA-Asn". It matches the Rfam family "tRNA". Rfam says of the family: Transfer RNA (tRNA) molecules are approximately 80 nucleotides in length. Lineage: Bacteria; Pseudomonadati; Pseudomonadota; Gammaproteobacteria; Methylococcales; Methylococcaceae. The record is from RNAcentral.